This 255-nucleotide ribosomal RNA is filed under the name Fusobacterium necrophorum. Its description in RNAcentral is "partial 16S ribosomal RNA". It matches the Rfam family "Bacterial small subunit ribosomal RNA", at positions 77 to 336 of the family's 1533-position model. The record is from RNAcentral. Lineage: Bacteria; Fusobacteriati; Fusobacteriota; Fusobacteriia; Fusobacteriales; Fusobacteriaceae.
UCUUCGGACUUGGGUGGCGCACGGGUGAGUAACGCGUAAAGAACUUGCCUCUUAGACCGGGACAACAUCUGGAAACGGAUGCUAAUACCGGAUAUUAUGGUUUUUUCGCAUGGAGGAAUCAUGAAAGUUAGAUGCGCUAAGAGAGAGCUUUGCGUCCCAUUAGCUAGUUGGUGAGGUAACGGCCCACCAAGGCAAUGAUGGGUAGCCGGCCUGAGAGGGUGAACGGCCACAAGGGGACUGAGACACGGCCCUUAC